AAAUAGGAUUUAGGAUUAAAAUCUUAAAUAUGUCAAUAAAUAAAUUAAUAGAUUAUAAGAAAUUAAUAUAAACGGGUUAUUCAUGUCUGUUUACAAAUAAUAUUUUGUUUAUUUAAAGUGUGGUGAAUGUGCCUUUCUGAAAGUGUGAAAGAUUCGGGUGACAUUGGGAGUUCACGUGAUGUAACGUAGCGUUACCAAGGAGACGCCGUCAAGGUGUGCGUGCUGUCGUGUUUUUCUCUCUCUGCCGGACCAACGUCAAGGUGGCGUCAUGCUAACCUGUUGCUGCAGAUAUCACUGUUCUGUGUAAGAGAGCCAAAUAUUCCAACGUCUUCCCAACGUUAAUUUUAUCGUCGGGCAGAGAGCGAAGCUUUUCUUCUUGAUUAGCGGACCGUGUGUUUUGUGACAGACGAAGGAGAACUGAAACCUGGACUGAUGAGAGCUGUGUUCUGCCUUGUACCCGGAGUGUGUGUAUAUGUGAUGCUUGAGCCUCUGGCCGGGUCUUAUUUUCUUUGGUUGGAUUUCCGGGUUGAGAUCUGCAUGAAGAUGACUUCUUCUUCUUCCGCUGGGAUUUCCCCCAUUCUUUAGAGGUAGAGGGGAACCUCAGUGGCAGUGGCGAGCCGCCCAAACAGAGACUGUGAUUAUUCAGUGAUUGAGUUUAUUGAGAACUGUGUUGAUAUCUCAUGUUAUGUGGACAAUUUAAAUUUGUUUUUUUCUUAUUCUCAAUUUUAUUUCUUUACUCAACACAAUAUAACAUACUUAAAACUUACCUGUUGGUUGUGUGAAUCCUUUACUCUCACUCAAUGCAAUAUUGCUAAUACCCCUUUCUCCUGUAGCGAUCUAGACUUCUGAUUUUCUGGUCCACAAGGUAAUUAAUGCACUAAUAAAUAAACAUACCUGUA
Long non-coding RNA from Dicentrarchus labrax (European seabass), 899 nucleotides. RefSeq lists it as uncharacterized. NCBI's taxonomy places the organism in Eukaryota, Metazoa, Chordata, Actinopteri, Moronidae. The record is from RefSeq and is a predicted model, not a curated record. The transcript is spliced from 3 exons.